GCGCCCGUAGCUCAGUUGGAUUAGAGUACUUGGCUACGAACCAAGGGGUCGUGGGUUCAAAUCCUGCCGGGCGCGCCAUAG
RNAcentral lists this transfer RNA (81 nucleotides) under Taylorella equigenitalis MCE9. RNAcentral's name for it is "tRNA-Arg". It matches the Rfam family "tRNA". Rfam says of the family: Transfer RNA (tRNA) molecules are approximately 80 nucleotides in length. Their secondary structure includes four short double-helical elements and three loops (D, anti-codon, and T loops). The record is from RNAcentral. Lineage: Bacteria; Pseudomonadati; Pseudomonadota; Betaproteobacteria; Burkholderiales; Alcaligenaceae.